Long non-coding RNA from Bombus terrestris (buff-tailed bumblebee), 617 nucleotides. RefSeq lists it as uncharacterized. The transcript is spliced from 2 exons. The record is from RefSeq and is a predicted model, not a curated record. Lineage: Eukaryota; Metazoa; Arthropoda; Insecta; Hymenoptera; Apidae.
UAUCUAUUAUGUUUCAUAAAGAAGUUCACCCGAAAUUAUGUCGACGAAUCUUACGAGACAAUGAUUUUCAUGGCAGAGUACCGCGAAAGAAGCCAUAUAUUAAUGCGGUAAAUCAUAAAAAAAGAUUGACUUUUGCAAAAACCUAUAUUAAUAAAGACGAUUCCUUUUGGAACAAAGUCAUCUUUUCGGACAAGUGAAAGUUUAACAUUUUUGGCUCUGAUUGUUAAAAUUAUAUGUGGAGAAACCCAAAUAUGAAAUUGGAAAUUCAACAUUUACAUCGAAGAGUGAAACACGAAGGUGGAUCAGUCAUGGUGUGGGGGUGCAUGGCUGCCAGUGACACUGGAAAUUUGAUAUUUAUUGAUGGAAUACUUGAUAAGUAUAAUCUGAGAGCAAGUAUUGAAAGAUACAAGUUAUAGAAAUAUGGAACUCCGUUGAGUGUAGUUUUACAAAAUCAUUGGUUUACAGUAUGGAGUGUCGAUUGAGACACACUAUUGCUCCUAAAGGUGGUCCAACAAAAUAUUAAUAUUAAAUGAUUUAAUAAUAUAUGUAGUGUCUAAAUGCUUUUGCUAGUCACUUGCAAUGUGUGUUUCUAAUAAAUGUAUAGCAACUCCCACCUA